Long non-coding RNA from Dreissena polymorpha, 3678 nucleotides. RefSeq lists it as uncharacterized. NCBI's taxonomy places the organism in Eukaryota, Metazoa, Mollusca, Bivalvia, Myida, Dreissenidae. The record is from RefSeq and is a predicted model, not a curated record. The transcript is spliced from 3 exons.
GUGGACUUCAUUCAUCAAAUCGGCGUACGCCGGCGCUGGCCGGCUAACUUCUAGAACCGGCGUACCACUUGUUUCGAUCCGAUUUUGCGCCGAAUAAUCAAGCCGGCGUAAGCCGAAUUCGCCGCUCUCGAUUGACCGGCGAGCGGGAAAGUAAAAUGGCCGACAAUGGCGCAAAUUUCUAGUGAUAUUGGAAGGUGGACCUGAUUUCUUUGCCAUACAAAAGCACCACAACAUAGCAUUGACAGUGUAACUGCACAAGAGAGUUCCAACCGCACAAGGAUCUUUGUGGAUGGUCAAUAUAGAAUCUACAUUAGAUGUUCAGAGUGCAGGCUAGUAUUUCAUGCAGACUGUGCUCAUUGUGAUCUUGAAGAUAUAAUAACAGGGGACAACCCGUGCAUUUGUGAUGUCUGCGCAAACAGAAUAUUGAAGCUGUGAACUCACUAAUUGGCGUUUUAAAAGACACCCUAAAAAAAUAAUAAUUUGUGGUGGCGCAAUCACUUCUUGUUUUAAGUUUAUUCAGCCUAAUGCCAUAGGACUUUAAAUGUUCUCAUGUUAUGUUUAACAUAUUGUUCAACAGUUGAUGUUAUCACAUACCUAAUUGAAGAAAGAUAUUUGACUUGUGAUAUGGCAUAUUAGCCAUGUGAAAUGACAUCUUAGACAUGUGUUAUGACAUUUUAGCCAUGUGAUAUGAUAUCUUAGUCAUGUCAUAAUACAUGUCUAAUAUGUAAUAUCACAUAUCUAAGAUGUCAUAUCACAUGACUAAGAUAUCAUAUCAUAUGACUAAUAUUUCAUAACACAUGACUAAGAUGUCAGGUCACAUGUAUAAGUUGUCAUAUCAUAUGACUACGAUGUCAAAUCUUCUGUCUAAGAUGUCAUAACACAUGACUUAGUUGUCAUAUCACAUUUCUAAGUAAACAUAUCAUAUGACUUAAGAUCUCAUAUCACAUGUGUAAGUUGUCAUAACACAUGACUAAGUUGUCAUAUAACAUGUCUAAGUUAUCAUAUGGCUAAGAUGUCAUAUCACAUGUCUAGGAUGUCAUAACACAUGACUUAGUUGUCAUAUCACAUGUCUAAGUUAGCAUAUCAUAUGUCUAAGAUGUCAUAUCACAUGUGUAAGUUGUCAUAACACAUGACUAAGUUGUCAUAUCACAUGUCUAAGUUAUCAUAUGGCUAAUAUGUCAUAUCACAUGUCUUGGAUGUCAUAACACAUGACUUAGUCGUCAUAUCACAUGUCUAAGUUAGCAUAUCAUAUGUCUAAGAUGUCAUAUCACAUGUGUAAGUUGUCAUAACACAUGACUAAGUUGUCAUAUCACAUGUCUAAGUUAUCAUAUGGCUAAGAUGUCAUAUCACAUGUCUUGGAUGUCAUAACACAUGACUUAGUUGUCAUAUCACAUGUCUAAGUUAACAUAUCAUAUGUCUAAGAUGUCAUAUCACAUGUGUAAGUUGUCAUAACACAUGACUAAGUUGUCAUAUCACAUAUCUAAGUUAUCAUAUUUUAAUCCACAAAAACUCUUUUUAACUUACAUUUGCGCCAUUGUCGGCCAUUUUACUUUCCUGCUCGCCGGUCAAUCGAGAGCGGCAAAUUCGGCUUAUCAUAUGACUAAGAUGUCAUAUCACAUGUCACGUCAUAACACAUGACUUAGUUGUCAUAUCACAUGUAAUGGUUAUCAUAUCACAUGACUAAGAUGUCAUUUCACAUGACUAAGAUGUCAUAGCACGUCUAAGUAGUCAUAUCACAUAUAUAAGUUGUCAUAUCAUAUGACUAAGAUGACAUCUUAGUCAUAUGAUAUGAUUACUUAGUCAUGUGUUAUGACAGGGUUUUUUCUUUAUCUUUUAAUAUUUUUAUUAUAACUUAACAUUGUCUUCAAAUGUUUGAUUUUCUUACCUUUGUGAUUGUAUCAGGGAUAUGUGCAGCGGCAGUUUAACAUAUAUUCAUCCACAGUUUUAAUAACCUGCCAUUGUAAUUUAGCAUUAGAGACUGUUCAGUUAGUAGGAAAUGAUUUCAUGGAACCAGAAAUUCUGAUAAGGAGGACUCCAGUUUAAAAGUUGUUUCUGUUACAGUUUAGAGGUUUGGGCUGUAUUAAUGCAAAGUGCCAUACGCAGCUGUAUUUUGUGCCCACAUGUUUCAAUUACUGUUUUUAUACUUCCACAAACGAAGUUUAGGGGGGUAUAUAGGAGUGAGCUUGUCUGUCGGUCGGUCGGUAUUGGUUAUCCGCUCUCUAAUUUAAGUAGUUUUCAUCCGAUCUUCCCCAAGUUUGGUCAGAAGUUUUAUCUAGAUGAUCUUGAGACCAAGAUCGAACAUUGGUCUUGCUGGGUCAAAAACUAGGUCACGGGGUCACUUAGUGUGUUUUAAACAUCGAGCAUGGUGUCCGCUCUCUAAUUGAAGUAGUUUACUUCCGAUCUUCACCAAACUUGGUCAGAAGUUUUAUAUAGAUGAUCUCUACGCAAAGUUCGAACAUGAGCCAUGGGUCACUUAGCGGUAGAAUGUUUUACACAUUAAGCAUGGUGUUCGCUGUCUAAUUCAAGUAGUUUUCAUCCGAUCUUCAACACAAUUGGUCAGAAGUUGUAUCAAGAUGAUGUGUAGGUCAAGUUCGAACAUGGGCCAUGCCAGGUCAAAAACUAGGUCACGGGGUCACUUAGUGUGUUUUAAAUAUUGAGCAUGGUGUCUGCUAUGAUUUUGUGAAGACACAUGCAAAAUAUUCUGUGUCAAUGCCACAUGUGGGGGUAUUCGUCACGUCUGUGACAAAGCUCUAGUUCUUUUUAGCUCACCUGAUUGCUCAGGUGAGCUUUUGUGACCGGGCCUUGUCCGUCCGUUCACAUUUAUUCGUAAACACUCUAGAGGGCACAUUUCUUUGCCGAUCUUCAUGAAACUUGGUCAGUACAUUGGUUUUAUUGAUUUCUCUGACAAGUUGGAAAAUGGCUGAGAGCGGUGUAACACACUUUUUAGCUCACCUGAUUGCUCAGGUGAGGUUUUAGGAUUGGUCUUUGUCUGCCGUCCGUCCGUCAACAUUUGCUUUGUAAACACUCUAGCAUUCACACUUCUUAAGCAUUCUUUAUGAAAGUUGCUGAAAGAUAUAGGUCAAGUUUGAUAAUGAGCAAAAUCACAUAAGUAAUGCCAUAAUUAUUGCCCUUAGAUUGCGUCCAAAAUAAUUGUAAACACUCUAGAGGUCACAAUUUUGUUUCAAAUUUUAUGAAUCAUGGUAAAAAAAUAAUUUCUAAGCAAAGUUUAAUGUUUGGCAAGGGAGGGGGGUCAACUCAAAAUAUAGGUCACCAGGUCAAAUCUCACAAAAACACCCCAUAAGCCAGAGUUUUGAUUCAAUAAUGAUGAAACUUGACCAUGGUGUUUGUCUGGACAAUAUCUAGGUCAAGAUUGACAUUAGGUAAAGAUUGAAUGAGCCAACUCCUCUCAGGUGAGAAAACUAGGGCCAUCUUGGCUCUCUUGUUUAUUUUACUGUGAUAUAUGAGGUACAUAUUGAUACAUGUGAUAUUUUUAUUUUACUGUGAUAUAUGAAGAACAUAUUGAUAUAUGAUUUUUAUUUUACUGUGAUAUAUGAGGAACAAAUUGAUAAGUUUUGUCAGACAGGUGUUUCAAACCUGCUGUCACAGGCAUGACAUAAUGAUAUACGCAUUAUACUCGUAAUAUGUUCAAUAUUUCGGAAAUAAACAAGUAAAACCAAA